RNAcentral lists this long non-coding RNA (701 nucleotides) under Gallus gallus (chicken). RNAcentral describes it as "long non-coding RNA NONGGAT001129". The record is from RNAcentral. Lineage: Eukaryota; Metazoa; Chordata; Aves; Galliformes; Phasianidae.
CAGCUGUCUGCCAUCAGCAUUUCUUGGGAGAACUUUUCAGCGACAUCUGAGCCAAAUUUCUGUGGGAGUGGAGAAGAAAGAGGAAAGGAUUGAAAGUGUUGUUUUGAAAAUUGGAAGCCGAUGGUCUUACUCAGUCCUCUGUCUUCAGGACCUGCAGUAAAAGAUUUAAAGAUAUUUAACCACUGGAUGAAAUGUGCCUGGGCACCCCGACAGAGACCAGAAAUGCACAAUAAAGAACAAUGCUUCUGUCGUGAAGUUAUUUACAGUGUAUAAACUUGGAGCUCAAUGAGGUAAAUGGGGAAGCUGGAAUUCACAAACAUCACUGCAAAUCCCAUCAACAGUUAAAGACAACAGGUCUGAAACGCUCCUCAGUGUGUAUGAAACUGACUGUGCAAACACUAAACAGUCACUUUGGGUAAAAUGACAUUUGCAACUUAGAGGCAAGGAUAGUUACAGAAAUUAUUCCAUUUGAGCAAAUUCACCUUUACCAGAAAGACCCUACUGAGUCAUUUGAAACUUCAUAUCUGACAAGGGAGUGGGAAAACCAGCUAAGAGCACCCUGAAGCAACCAGGAUCUCUUGGUCAAGUGCAAGAGCUGGGUUGUAACAACAAAAGGGGCUGCUACGUGGCAACUGAUGAGAAGCAGGAGCGUGUUUGGCUUACAGCAGCACUAAAGUAAACAGGUAAGAGCGCUGGGCUGG